GAUGAACGCUGGCGGUAUGCUUAACACAUGCAAGUCGAACGGACUCUUCGGAGUUAGUGGCGGACGGGGGAGUAACGCGUGAGAAUCUGGCUUUGGGUUCGGGACAACCCCUGGAAACGGUGGCUAAUAUCGGAUAUGCUGAGAGGUAAAAGCGUAAUUGCCUGAAGAUGAGCUCGCGUCUGAUUAGCUAGUUGGUGAGGUAAAGGCUCACCAAGGCAGCGAUCAGUAGCUGGUCUGAGAGGAUGACCAGCCACACUGGGACUGAGACGCGGCCCAGACUCCUACUGGACGCAGCAGGCAAGAAUUUUCCGCAAUGACCGAAAGCCUGACGGAGCAAUACCGCUUGAGGGAAGAAGUCUCUUGGGUUGAAAACCUCUUUGCUUAUGGAAGACCAAAAUGACGGUACCUAAGGAAUCAGCACCGGCUAACUCCGUG
This 435-nucleotide ribosomal RNA is filed under the name uncultured bacterium. RNAcentral describes it as "partial 16S ribosomal RNA". It matches the Rfam family "Bacterial small subunit ribosomal RNA", at positions 28 to 507 of the family's 1533-position model. The record is from RNAcentral.